This 487-nucleotide ribosomal RNA is filed under the name uncultured bacterium. RNAcentral's name for it is "SSU rRNA". It matches the Rfam family "Bacterial small subunit ribosomal RNA", at positions 26 to 521 of the family's 1533-position model. The record is from RNAcentral.
AGGACGAACGCUGGCGGCGUGCUUAACACAUGCAAGUCGAACGGUGACCCUCGGAGCUUGCUUCGAGGUGAUCAGUGGCGAACGGGUGAGUAACACGUGAGUAACCUGCCCCAGACUCUGGGAUAACCCCGGGAAACCGGAGCUAAUACCGGAUAUGACACGGAGAGGCAUCUCUACCGUGUGGAAAGUUUUUCGGUCUGGGAUGGACUCGCGGCCUAUCAGCUUGUUGGUGAGGUAAUGGCUCACCAAGGCGACGACGGGUAGCCGGCCUGAGAGGGCGACCGGCCACACUGGGACUGAGACACGGCCCAGACUCCUACGGGAGGCAGCAGUGGGGAAUAUUGCACAAUGGGCGAAAGCCUGAUGCAGCGACGCCGCGUGAGGGAUGAAGGCCUUCGGGUUGUAAACCUCUUUCAGCAGGGAAGAAGCGAAAGUGACGGUACCUGCAGAAGAAGCACCGGCUAACGUACGCGCCAGCAGCCGCGGU